This is a long non-coding RNA of Ostrinia nubilalis (European corn borer), 237 nucleotides long. RefSeq lists it as uncharacterized. NCBI's taxonomy places the organism in Eukaryota, Metazoa, Arthropoda, Insecta, Lepidoptera, Crambidae. The record is from RefSeq and is a predicted model, not a curated record. The transcript is spliced from 3 exons.
CAGCAGUUAUCAAAGAAUAUUGGUGCUGGCGGGCCAAGUAUUGCCACACUAAAGAUGAGCGGGUUUGCGCAAGAGAUCGCCGCCUGAAGAAGACCCACAUCUUCCAAUGCGUGUGCACCAUGUACAAACACAACUGCGAAGAAGGACACGAUUUCACAGCGAACGGCGUUAGCGCCGAGAAUUGCUUGAAACCGCGUCGUUAUAUUCGUUGGCAUUAACUAAUGUUGGUCAACCAUG